CUGUAAGCCGUUGAAGGUGGCCUGUGAGGGUUGCUGGAGGUAUCAGAAGUGCGAAUGCUGACAUAAGUAACGAUAAAGCGGGUGAAAAGCCCGCUCGCCGGAAGACCAAGGGUUCCUGUCCAACGUUAAUCGGGGCAGGGUGAGUCGACCCCUAAGGCGAGGCCGAAAGGCGUAGUCGAUGGGAAACAGGUUAAUAUUCCUGUACUUGGUGUUACUGCGAAGGGGGGACGGAGAAGGCUAUGUUAGCCGGGCGACGGUUGUCCCGGUUUAAGCAUGUAGGCGGAGGUUCCAGGUAAAUCCG
This 301-nucleotide ribosomal RNA is filed under the name Enterobacter kobei. RNAcentral describes it as "partial 23S ribosomal RNA". It matches the Rfam family "Bacterial large subunit ribosomal RNA", at positions 1241 to 1544 of the family's 2925-position model. Lineage: Bacteria; Pseudomonadati; Pseudomonadota; Gammaproteobacteria; Enterobacterales; Enterobacteriaceae. The record is from RNAcentral.